GACGAAGGAUGCAAGCGUUAUCCGGAUUCAUUGGGUUUAAAGGGAGCGUAGGUGGUCUUAUAAGUCAGUGGUGAAAUCUCUGGGCUUAACCCAGAAAUUGCCAUUGAUACUGUAGGACUUGAGUAUAGUCGCCGUUGGCGGAAUAUGACAUGUAGUGGUGAAAUACAUAGAGAUGUCAUAGAACACCGAUUGCGAAGGCAGCUAACGAAACUAUAACUGACACUGAGGCUCGAAAGUGUGGGGAUCAAACAGG
RNAcentral lists this ribosomal RNA (253 nucleotides) under uncultured bacterium. Its description in RNAcentral is "partial 16S ribosomal RNA". It matches the Rfam family "Bacterial small subunit ribosomal RNA", at positions 524 to 776 of the family's 1533-position model. The record is from RNAcentral.